CCAUUACCGAGUUUACAACUCCCAAACCCAAUGUGAACGUUACCAAACUGUUGCCU
RNAcentral lists this ribosomal RNA (56 nucleotides) under Trichoderma inhamatum. Its description in RNAcentral is "partial 18S ribosomal RNA". The record is from RNAcentral. Lineage: Eukaryota; Fungi; Ascomycota; Sordariomycetes; Hypocreales; Hypocreaceae.